This 404-nucleotide ribosomal RNA is filed under the name uncultured fungus. RNAcentral's name for it is "eukaryotic LSU rRNA". Lineage: Eukaryota; Fungi. The record is from RNAcentral.
AGAGUUAAACAGUGCGUGAAAUUGUUGAAAGGGAAACGUUUGACACCAGUCAUGUGGGUGGAAAAUCAGUCUUUUGCAUUGGGGAGUUGUAAGGGUUCGGACCGCAAGGCCGGCUUUUGCUUCAUCUUUGGUGUAAGUGAUGCACUUUUUCAUCUACAGGUCAACAUCGGUUUCGUCUUGAAGUAAAAAACCAGGUGGAAGGUAGCUGCUCUCUUCGGAGUGUGGUGUUAUAGACAUCUGGCGAUGCUUUGAGCGAGACCGAGGAAUGCAGUGCAGUCUUGGGGAACCAUUCGCUAAUUUGAGGUGUUGGCUGAACAGCUUGCUGAUCAGUCGAUUCCCUUGAGUUAAUCGGGCGGUGUACCACACCUGUGCUUAGGAUGUUGACAAAAUGGUUUUAAACGACC